This 73-nucleotide transfer RNA is filed under the name Ictidomys tridecemlineatus (thirteen-lined ground squirrel). Its description in RNAcentral is "Spermophilus tridecemlineatus (thirteen-lined ground squirrel) tRNA". It matches the Rfam family "tRNA". Rfam says of the family: Transfer RNA (tRNA) molecules are approximately 80 nucleotides in length. Their secondary structure includes four short double-helical elements and three loops (D, anti-codon, and T loops). Further hydrogen bonds mediate the characteristic L-shaped molecular structure. tRNAs have two regions of fundamental functional importance: the anti-codon, which is responsible for specific mRNA codon recognition, and the 3' end, to which the tRNAs corresponding amino acid is attached (by aminoacyl-tRNA synthetases). tRNAs cope with the degeneracy of the genetic code in two manners: having more than one tRNA (with a specific anti-codon) for a particular amino acid; and 'wobble' base-pairing, i.e. permitting non-standard base-pairing at the 3rd anti-codon position. The record is from Rfam by way of RNAcentral. Lineage: Eukaryota; Metazoa; Chordata; Mammalia; Rodentia; Sciuridae. RNAcentral also lists the same sequence under 1 other name.
GCAGAAAUAGCUCAUCUGGGAUAGUGUUAGACUGAAGAUCUAAAGGUCCCUAGUUUGAUCCCGGGUUUCAAUA